Unclassified non-coding RNA from Chlorocebus sabaeus (green monkey), 290 nucleotides. It matches the Rfam family "Metazoan signal recognition particle RNA". Rfam says of the family: The signal recognition particle (SRP) is a universally conserved ribonucleoprotein. The record is from Ensembl. NCBI's taxonomy places the organism in Eukaryota, Metazoa, Chordata, Mammalia, Primates, Cercopithecidae.
GCGGGGUGUGCCUGUAGGCCCAGUUACUCAGGAGGCUGAUGCAGGAGGAUCGCUUGAGCCCAGGCAUUCUGGGCUGGAAUGUGCUAUGCAGAUUCGGUGUCUGUACUAAGUUCAGUACCAAUGAAUUCCUGGGAGCAGGGGUCACCCAGUCACCCAGGUUAAGGAGGGGUGUACUGGCCCAGGUUGGAAGCAGAACAGGUCAAAACUCCUGUGCUGAUCAAUAGUGGGAUUGUGCCUGUGAAUAACCGCUAUAACCACCGUCCCCCAGACUGGACAACAUAGUGAAAAUU